GACGAACGCUGGCGGCGUGCUUAACACAUGCAAGUCGAACGGAAAGGCCCUGCUUUUGUGGGGUGCUCGAGUGGCGAACGGGUGAGUAACACGUGAGUAACCUGCCCUUGACUUUGGGAUAACUUCAGGAAACUGGGGCUACUACCGGAUCGGAGCUCCUGCUGCAUGGUGGGGGUUGGAAAGUUUCGGCGGUUGUGGAUGGACUCGCGGCUUAUCAGCUUGUUGGUGGGGUAGUGGCUUACCAAGGCUUUGACGGGUAGCCGGCCUGAGAGGGUGACCGGCCACAUGGGGACUGAGAUACGGCCCAGACUCCUACGGGAGGCAGCAGUGGGGAAUAUUGCACAAUGGGCGGAAGCCUGAUGCAGCAACGCCGCGUGCGGGAUGACGGCCUUCGGGUUGUAAACCGCUUUCGCCUGUGACGAAGCGUGAGUGACGGUAAUGGGUAAAGAAGCACCGGCUAACUACGUG
This 468-nucleotide ribosomal RNA is filed under the name uncultured bacterium. Its description in RNAcentral is "partial 16S ribosomal RNA". It matches the Rfam family "Bacterial small subunit ribosomal RNA", at positions 28 to 507 of the family's 1533-position model. The record is from RNAcentral.